AAGCACGAAACUUGCCCCGAGAUGAGUUCUCCCUGACUCCUUGAGAGUCCUGAAGGAACGUUGAAGACGACGACGUUGAUAGGCCGGGUGUGUAAGCGCAGCGAUGCGUUGAGCUAACCGGUACUAAUGAACCGUGAGGCUUAACCUUACAACGCCGAAGCUGUU
Molecule: ribosomal RNA, 165 nt
Filed under: Escherichia coli
Lineage: Bacteria; Pseudomonadati; Pseudomonadota; Gammaproteobacteria; Enterobacterales; Enterobacteriaceae
Description: partial 23S ribosomal RNA
Rfam family: Bacterial large subunit ribosomal RNA (bases 1-148)
Source: RNAcentral